UUAAGUUCAGCGGGUAGUCCUACCUGAUUUGAGGUCAAGUUGUCAAAGGAAGACGAGGGAAACCCUGCGUUCGUCGGCCUCGCGACCAACUAGUAGCUAAAGCAUCCAAGUCAAGGAUUGGAAGCAAACGGACUCAUUCAUGCUUGUCCUACGCUCCAGCGACGACGAUCAUUAUCACGUCAAGGCCGUGCACGUCAGAC
RNAcentral lists this unclassified non-coding RNA (200 nucleotides) under Xerocomellus sp. RNAcentral's name for it is "partial internal transcribed spacer 2". Lineage: Eukaryota; Fungi; Basidiomycota; Agaricomycetes; Boletales; Boletaceae. The record is from RNAcentral.